Molecule: ribosomal RNA, 230 nt
Filed under: Parmelia sulcata
Lineage: Eukaryota; Fungi; Ascomycota; Lecanoromycetes; Lecanorales; Parmeliaceae
Description: partial 18S ribosomal RNA
Source: RNAcentral
AGAUUAAGCCAUGCAUGUCUAAGUAUAAGCAAUCUAUACGGUGAAACUGCGAAUGGCUCGGAAUUUAGUGGGCCAUUCCAUCACAAAUUAGCGGGAUAGCCCCGUAACACUGCCAAAGUGUGGGAACCAUAUCGCUGGAACUCGCAGCCAGGUUACCUGGUCCAACGACUACAAGGCAUCUGGCCGGGGCGCCCCCGGUUAAGAUAUAGUCUCUACCCCCGGAGCGAUCC